UAGGAAAAUAAAAUGCAAGUUCUUUGCCCGCGGCCGUGGCCGCUGUCCCUUUAAAUCGGAGUGCAUCUACCUUCAUGAGUUCCCGGCCAGGGUGCGGCCCCCUCGACAGAGACCUCCAUGCAGGACAGGCCCGGUGGCAUUCAAUCCCUCUCCCUCUGAGAGCUCCGAGGAGGAGGAGGACGACAAUGAUGUGUGCUUGUUCCCAUGGGCUCUCACCUUUGCGCUGCUGCGGGGGGACGUCGAUGAUCCAGACUACUGCCAUGAGAUUUUCCUCUUGGAUUCCAGUGACUCAGACUAGAAAUUCCACUGGGCCGGGCCUGGCUCGAUGGAGUUGGGGUCACUCCAUGGCUUGUGAACCUAUAUCUUUUGGGUGGGGGGAGAUGGGGAAAGAAAAUUGACUUCUUUUAAUCUGUCUAGUUGUGUGUCUGGCAGGACUUCUAGUGAUCCGAAACCACUCUGCACAAGCUGGGGGAACGCAGCAGUGGCAGUGGGAAGCUCUCCCAUUCCACAGGGCGGUGGGAUGCGGUUACCACUGCAACACUGCUCUUUCAUCCAUCCUGGGGCUGAUGGGACUGACCGCUGACACAUCGCAUGUCACGUUUCCACUUCUGUCCCUCCCCUCCGAAACGGCACCUCUCCCUCUCUCCGCGGGUUCCUCACCGCCAUGGCUUCCCAGCCUGGGAUCUGGUGGUGUCCCCAGGCCUAUGGCCUCCCAGCUGCCUUGCUCUAGGAGUAGGCUGUACGUCAGGUUUCGCGGUGGUCCUGCAGUCUCCAUGUUGUGGUUGGAGGCAGAGCGUGCUUGCUGCUGAGGCUACGUUGUUGUGAAGGAGAGUCAGUUGAGCAGUGCUAUUGGCCACAGCAGCAGGCAGUGUCUGCAUCUUGGCGGGUUGCUCUAGUAUUGAUUGCAGUGCUGCCAGGCAUCCAUAGCAGGCUUAAAAGGGGGAGCAGUCUGGGAUUAGUGGGUGGGGGUUUGGGGCUUUUUUUUAUUGAUACAGGCAUCUGUCUCAGAGGUUUCAUAACGUAAGCAGGGAGACCCGCUCCAUGGGAGCUGGAAGGGUUGCUGCCUGGUCGUGAAGCUGCCUGUGCACAUACUUAGCAAACCUUUUAACUCUUUCAGAAGAUAUCUGGAGACCACGAAAUAAAAAUCAGCUUUAAAAACUAAUCA
RNAcentral lists this long non-coding RNA (1165 nucleotides) under Chrysemys picta bellii (western painted turtle). RNAcentral describes it as "lncRNA (ENSCPBG00000017870.1)". Lineage: Eukaryota; Metazoa; Chordata; Testudines; Emydidae. The record is from RNAcentral.